This is a long non-coding RNA of Austrofundulus limnaeus, 730 nucleotides long. RefSeq lists it as uncharacterized. The transcript is spliced from 3 exons. Lineage: Eukaryota; Metazoa; Chordata; Actinopteri; Cyprinodontiformes; Rivulidae. The record is from RefSeq and is a predicted model, not a curated record.
CAGUGUGACGGACACUUACAUUUACAUUUGUUUUCACACCAGAAUGUACGCUCUUAUUGUGAAGGUUAACUGUGAGGAAAAAGCUGGUUUUGGGGGAGGGAAGUUAUUGUGCACUGAUUUUGAAGAUUCACUUGUUUUUCUUGUUGGAAGUACAUCAUUAUUAAAAAGAGAUUCAAAUACAUUUACAUCUCCUUUUGGCUGACUUCCACAACAGUCCUGAUUUAUGACAGCAAAUUAUCUCCAUACAUUUAUGUCACAGUUUUCAUGUAGAUUCUAACGGCAAACUUGUCUUUUUUUUUGUUUGUUUGUUUUUUUUUUUGCUCACUGCUCAUCCUCUGCUGACAUGGAUACUCCUUACAGCAAAGAUUCUGCAAAACAUGAAGCAGCCCCCAACUAUAAUUAAACAAUCAGUGAAGGACUAUAUCGUCGACCCCAGAGAUAACAUCAUCAUUGAGUGUGAGGCCAAGGGCAACCCAGUGCCAACGUAAGCAGUUUACUCACAGCCCCACACAAAGCUCUCACAACACACUCUCUAUCUGCUCUCUGCUUGUUACCAAGAGGAAAUACAAAACCAGGUCAGAACCAGCUAUCACAUCCAACAGGCACAGUUAUACAGUAGUUUAUAUAUGUACGUAUAUAAUUAUGAAAGUGUUUUUUUUAGCCUUGACACAAAUACUGUAUAACGAUUUUUGAUUCACACUUUUAAUCCAAGCCUAUGGAGCAAACCAGA